GCCGAUGUAGCACAACAGGCGGUGCACCGGGCUGUUAACCCGGCGGGUGCUGGUUCGACCCCAGCCAUCGGUGCCA
RNAcentral lists this transfer RNA (76 nucleotides) under Caudoviricetes sp. RNAcentral's name for it is "tRNA-Asn". It matches the Rfam family "tRNA". From Rfam's summary of the family: Transfer RNA (tRNA) molecules are approximately 80 nucleotides in length. The record is from RNAcentral. Lineage: Duplodnaviria; Heunggongvirae; Uroviricota; Caudoviricetes.